Megalobrama amblycephala (Wuchang bream) is the source of this 307-nucleotide long non-coding RNA. RefSeq lists it as uncharacterized. The transcript is spliced from 3 exons. NCBI's taxonomy places the organism in Eukaryota, Metazoa, Chordata, Actinopteri, Cypriniformes, Xenocyprididae. The record is from RefSeq and is a predicted model, not a curated record.
GGAUGAAUCUCUCUCUCCUCUUGGACUGUGGACUUUCAAGUCAAGAUUGUAAUAAGAAAAUGCUUUUAAAAUUUACUACAAAUAUCUGUUGAAAAGAAAAUUCGACUCUAUCAGGCUGUCUUUGGGAAUUAUGUCUCGACAAAAGCAGAAUUUGCUGUGGCUGAUGAUCAUCUGUUGUGCUUUACGCCAGAUAAGUACAUCAUUAGGAACUCCAGAGUGUUGCCAACUGCCCUCAGAACAAUGUUGUCUGAAAAUCCCUACUGUCACCUCUGAAGAGAUAUGUAGGAAUGCUGUAUAUGAUGAUACA